RNAcentral lists this ribosomal RNA (301 nucleotides) under uncultured bacterium. RNAcentral describes it as "partial 16S ribosomal RNA". It matches the Rfam family "Bacterial small subunit ribosomal RNA", at positions 509 to 807 of the family's 1533-position model. The record is from RNAcentral.
CAGCCGCCGCGGGAAUACGAAGGGUGCAAGCGUUACUCGGAAUUACUGGGCGUAAAGCGUGUGUAGGUGGUUGUUUAAGUCUGUCGUGAAAGCCCUGGGCUCAACCUGGGAAUUGCGAUGGAUACUGGGCGACUAGAGUGCGGUAGAGGAUAGUGGAAUUCCCAGUGUAGAGGUGAAAUGCGCAGAUACCGGGAGGAACGCCGAUGGCGAAGGCAGCCACCUGGUCCACUUCUGACGCUGAGGCACGAAAGCGUGGGGAGCAAACAGGAUUAGAUACCCCAGUAGUCCCUGUCUCUUAUAC